CCCUUAGAUGUUCUGGGCCGCACGCGCGCUACACUGAUGCAUUCAACGAGCCUAUCCUUGACCGACAGGUCCGGGUAAUCUUUGAAUCUGCAUCGUGACGGGGAUAGAUUAUUGCAAUUAUUAAUCUUCAACGAGGAAUGCCUAGUAGGUGCAAGUCAUCAGCUUGCGUCGAUUACGUCCCUGCCCUUUGUACACACCGCCCGUCGCUCCUACCGAUUGGGUGUGCUGGUGAAAUGUUCGGAUCGGCCGUUUGUCGCGGUUUCCGCGGCUCGUGGCUGAGAAGUUCAUUAAACCCUCCCACCUAGAGGAAGGAGAAGUCGUAACA
This 325-nucleotide ribosomal RNA is filed under the name uncultured eukaryote. RNAcentral describes it as "partial 18S ribosomal RNA". It matches the Rfam family "Eukaryotic small subunit ribosomal RNA", at positions 1470 to 1796 of the family's 1831-position model. The record is from RNAcentral.